UUACUACUCCCUCCGCCCGAAAAAGCUUGUCCCUCAAAUGGAUGUAUCUAGCAUUGAUGCUAGAUACAUCCAUUUGAGGGACAAGCUUUUUCGGACAGAGGGAGUAUAUG
Non-coding RNA from Triticum aestivum (bread wheat), 110 nucleotides. The record is from Rfam. Lineage: Eukaryota; Viridiplantae; Streptophyta; Magnoliopsida; Poales; Poaceae.